Molecule: long non-coding RNA, 1552 nt
Organism: Astyanax mexicanus (Mexican tetra)
Lineage: Eukaryota; Metazoa; Chordata; Actinopteri; Characiformes; Acestrorhamphidae
Exons: 2
Source: RefSeq, a predicted model, not a curated record
AUUCAAGUAAUUAACUCUUGAUGAGUUCAGCACAGCUGUUAAUUAAAAGCUAUUCCAAGUGCCUACCUCAUAAAGAUCAGAACAGACUCAUGUAGCAGGUUGGGUUUGUUACCCCACCUAUACUGCUGGUGAAGCUGUGUGGCUGCUUUAAAUUACUGGGCGGCCCCUUUGUACUCUAUAUAUGGGUAGGGGAUGACUAUUCAUGGUGCACUUCCUGUUCCCCCUCCUCAUUGCUCCGGGCUCUGACUUCCGUGCCGGCAGCGGUCAGCGUGGAGUUUAGCGCGAUUGUUUGGGUUACUUCUCAAGAGUUUCAGGUAUCUGGUUACAGUAUUAUGGCAUAAUAUGACAGUUUGGCUUAAUUAUUAACUCUCUUUAUUCGCUUGUAGUUGCGGGCUCGUGGUGUUAUUGCCAGUCCAGCGCGGCUGUGUGUCUCUGACUGUGUCAGUGCAGUUUCACUUUCACUAAGGUUUUAGUGUCCAGAUUGUGCUGACUGAUUCCAGCCUCCCCACAGUGCUGCUGUUUUGCCUGAGUUUAUUUAGUUUUGUUUCAUUAAUUUUCAUUUGCUCCUAGUUAUUUUGAGUUUUUGUCUUGCUUUUCUUCAUUUCAUUUGUUAAAUCAGCUUUGAUUUGCCUUUAGUUAUUUUGAUAUUUUGUUGUAUUGAUUUUCUUUUGUCUUUAUUUUGAGUUAAGAUUUGCUGGAGUUUAUUCUUAUGUAUUUUUUUUCUUUAUUGGAUUAAAAUUAUAUUUCUGCUUUAUUUUUGAUUUGCUGGUUUGGACCUUUUGAGGUUUAUUCUGGCUUAUUAAUUUGGGAUUUGCUUUGACUUAAUUUCGGGUUUAUUCAUGAUUUACUAAUUUGGGUUUGCUUUUGAUUUCUUUUUGGUCUAUUUCUGAUUUAUUGUGUGGAGUUGCUUUUGACCUAACCUCUGUUUAUUUAAUUUUUUUGCUGAGUUUGCUUCUGAUUUAAUUUAUUUUGCCAGAUUGAACUUUCAUUUGUCCAUUUACUUUAACAAAGUUUAAGUUUGUUUCUGUGUUUUUUUUGAAUUAACAAAAACAAGAACAGUGGUUGUGGAAUUCCCUUCUUGGCUGUGUGUUUGUCUUUUUAGUGUUGGAGUGGUAUAAGGUGAGGUUGUAAGAGACCAGGGCCCAUAAAAAGAUAAGUACAUUUCGAGCAAUUGUAAUUGGUCUCUCUCCCUUCACCGCUGGUAGCUUUUUAUAAUUGUUUUUUUUUCUUUGUGUCUCUUAGUUGGACCGGAGCUGUGGGCCAAAGCGGCGGGUUCGGGGAUGUGGAAUGCUGUUCACCUUUCCUGUAGUGUAGAGCACGCUGGGUGUUGAAAUGUGUGGUUUGUAGUGUUGACUAUUUCCUCUUCCUGUACUUUCUUCUGCCGUGGUAAGCCCUCAGCCCAGUUCCUCCCUAAAUUUGUUUUUAGUAAAGUAAAUUCUACUAUUUCUAGUUUUUAUACUGUUGUCCAAGAAGGGAGUUUCUGGUCUGCCCUGUGUGUGUGUGGAAAUAUGUUUUAAAAUAAUUGUCAAUAAAUUUUCCUUAACUGAUGGUA